GCUGCCUGUGACCCCAUCUGAUUAAAAUUAGAAAUAUUCUAUUUGCACACCUUUAUCAGGAAAAGAACUAAAAUUCAAUACAAAACUCUUGCCUAUUUAAAUAAAUUCUAUAUACAUUAAUGGGGGAAAAAAGAAAAGGAAGAAAUGAACUUUUGAGUAUAAUCUUGCCUCUCAAUCUCGAAUCACCAGUUCAGUCCCAUUCUCAACUUCUAAAUUCAAACUCCUUCUGCGUCUGCUUACGUAUCUACCAAACCCAGAACUCGAGUGACUGGAACUUCUACUGAUAGAACCAGAUUCAGGAUCAGGAUGCAAACUCGAAGUAGUAGUGGUAGCAGAAGAAGAAUUAGACCCCAUCCUCCUAAAAAACGAAACCAACCCACGAAAAACCCUCCUAAA
This 396-nucleotide unclassified non-coding RNA is filed under the name Hevea brasiliensis (rubber tree). The record is from RNAcentral. Lineage: Eukaryota; Viridiplantae; Streptophyta; Magnoliopsida; Malpighiales; Euphorbiaceae.